Molecule: long non-coding RNA, 1231 nt
Filed under: Triticum aestivum (bread wheat)
Lineage: Eukaryota; Viridiplantae; Streptophyta; Magnoliopsida; Poales; Poaceae
Description: long non-coding RNA (TAES_LNC011014)
Source: RNAcentral
GCUUGGAGAUGGAAGAUGGACAGUGGAAAAAUGCACAAGGGUUUCCUUCCCUGGUUGUUUGUUACUGUACAUACUUGCAGAUGAAGCCAUGCGGCGUGUUUCGGUCUUGGGGACUGAAACGUCGCGUGACCGAGGCGGUGGUUUGUCGGCGUCGGUGAUGUUAUAUGUUUGUUGCCAUUUUGAGUUCUCUAUAUUCGGAACCUGUAGUGUUUUAGCGGACUAGCUAAGCUGCUGCUCAAGGUGGUAGUAAGAUACUCCUAUGGAUUUGUCGUUACUGUUAAGAUGAUGUUGUCAAGAUGAUGACUCUGUUAUUGCUGUAUCCAUCCAUACCGUGCUAUCAUGUUUAUUAAUUUGGUCUCGCAUUAUCGUGGUUAUUUUGAUUAUUUUUUUGUGGUUUGCAAUUUGAAUUUACUCUGAUGUGAAUUGGGAUAAGUUCGUAUACUUCAUCUGGUCUAGCUGGUGUUCCCUUUUCCCCUUCAUACCCGUGAGUUUCAGGUAGCACAUGAUCCGGAUUGCUCUAUAUGUCAUCCUAGAUUUUUAUUUUUCUCUUGACUUUGUCUUAUUUCCCCCAGAGCACAAAUGUUCCAUUUUGCAUGAAAAAACGCCAAAAUCCAGUUUUCAAAUUUGUUUUCUGUUUGUUUUGUGUUUUUUAAAUAAAUCAGUUUCAAAUUUGUUUUCGGUUUUUUGUUUGCGCCAAAAGCAUAUGCUCCUGGGAGCCGAAACGCCGCUCCCUCGAUGGUCUUCUUUUCUUUCCAUUUUUAUGGAACAAUUUUUUUUCGACAAUUGUAAAAUGCAUUGGUGACCAUUAAACUUGUGAGGACGGUCUCUUUCGCCUCGUGCGACGACAAAACUGGGCUUUUAUUUGUCGAGACGGGGAUAAAAAGGAAAGGAAGGGAGAGGUGUAGUGUUUUAGAUACUCCUAUGAAUUUGUAGAUACUCCUAUGAAUUUGUUGUUAUUGUUAAGAUGUAGUCAAGAUGAUGACUCUGUUAUUGCUGUAUCCAUCCAUACCGUGUUGUCAUGUUUCUUAAUUUGAUCUCGCAUUCUCGUCGUUAUUUUGAUUUUCUGCGGGUUGCAAUUGGAAUUUACUCUGCUGUGAAUUGUAACAAGUGCAUAAACUUCAUCUGGUCUAGCUGAAGACCAAGAUGGGCAACAUGCUGGUCUUCCUUUUUCCGGAUAUUCAAAUAUGCUCUAGAUGUCACCUGUAGAUUUUUAUAUUUCACUGAACUUUAU